Molecule: ribosomal RNA, 525 nt
Filed under: Anastrepha australis
Lineage: Eukaryota; Metazoa; Arthropoda; Insecta; Diptera; Tephritidae
Description: Toxotrypana australis partial small subunit ribosomal RNA
Rfam family: Bacterial large subunit ribosomal RNA (bases 393-525)
Source: RNAcentral
AAACAUGUCUUUUUGAAUUUUAUUUAAAGUCUAACCUGCCCACUGAAUUUUAAAUGGCCGCAGUAAUUUGACUGUGCAAAGGUAGCAUAAUCAGUAGUCUUUUAAUUGAAGGCUUGUAUGAACGGUUGGACGAAGUAUAAGCUGUUUCAUAUAAAUUUAUUUUAGAAUUUUAUAUUUUAGUUAAAAAGCUAAAAUUUUAUUAAAAGACGAGAAGACCCUAUAAAUCUUUAUAUUUUAUGUUAUUUAAGUUUUUUGAUUUUAUUUUAUUUUUAUAAUGUAAUAAUAUUUUGUUGGGGUGAUGUUAAAAUUUAAUUAACUUUUAAUUUUUUAAAAUCAUUAAUUUAUGAAUUAUUGAUCCAUUAAUAUUGAUUAUAAGAUUAAGUUACUUUAGGGAUAACAGCGUAAUUUUUUUUGAGAGUUCAUAUCGAUAAAAAAGUUUGCGACCUCGAUGUUGGAUUAAGGUAUAAUUUUGGGUGUAGCUGUUCAAAUAUUAAGUCUGUUCGACUUUUAAAUUCUUACAUGAUC